GAUGAACGCUGGCGGCGUGCCUAAUACAUGCAAGUCGAGCGAACGGACGAGAAGCUUGCUUCUCUGAUGUUAGCGGCGGACGGGUGAGUAACACGUGGAUAACCUACCUAUAAGACUGGGAUAACUUCGGGAAACCGGAGCUAAUACCGGAUAAUAUUUUGAACCGCAUGGUUCAAAAGUGAAAGACGGUCUUGCUGUCACUUAUAGAUGGAUCCGCGCUGCAUUAGCUAGUUGGUAAGGUAACGGCUUACCAAGGCAACGAUGCAUAGCCGACCUGAGAGGGUGAUCGGCCACACUGGAACUGAGACACGGUCCAGACUCCUACGGGAGGCAGCAGUAGGGAAUCUUCCGCAAAGGGCGAAAGCCUGACGGAGCAACGCCGCGUGAGUGAUGAAGGUCUUCGGAUCGUAAAACUCUAUUAUUAGGGAAGAACAUAUGUGUAAGUAACUGUGCACAUCUUGACGGUACCUAAUCAGAAAGCCACGGCUAACUACGUG
Molecule: ribosomal RNA, 497 nt
Filed under: uncultured bacterium
Lineage: Bacteria
Description: partial 16S ribosomal RNA
Rfam family: Bacterial small subunit ribosomal RNA
Source: RNAcentral